This 429-nucleotide ribosomal RNA is filed under the name Bacteroidota bacterium. Its description in RNAcentral is "Bacteroidetes bacterium partial 16S ribosomal RNA". It matches the Rfam family "Bacterial small subunit ribosomal RNA", at positions 355 to 776 of the family's 1533-position model. Lineage: Bacteria; Pseudomonadati; Bacteroidota. The record is from RNAcentral.
UAGGGAAUCUUCGGCAAUGGGGGGAACCCUGACCGAGCAACGCCGCGUGAGUGAAGAAGGUUUUCGGAUCGUAAAGCUCUGUUGUUAAGGAAGAACGAGUGUGAGAAUGGAAAGUUCAUACUGUGACGGUACUUAACCAGAAAGGGACGGCUAACUACGUGCCAGCAGCCGCGGUAAUACGUAGGUCCCGAGCGUUGUCCGGAGUUAGUGGGCGUAAAGCGAGCGCAGGCGGUUAGAUAAGUCUGAAGUUAAAGGCAGUGGCUCAACCAUUGUAGGCUUUGGAAACUGUUUAACUUGAGUGCAGGAGGGGAGAGUGGAAUUCCAUGUGUAGCGGUGAAAUGCGUAGAUAUAUGGGGGAACACCGGUGGCGGAAGCGGCUCUCUGGUCUGUAACUGGCGCUGGGGCUCGAAAGCGUGGGGAGCGAACAGG